Molecule: ribosomal RNA, 235 nt
Filed under: uncultured Lactobacillus sp.
Lineage: Bacteria; Bacillati; Bacillota; Bacilli; Lactobacillales; Lactobacillaceae
Description: partial 16S ribosomal RNA
Rfam family: Bacterial small subunit ribosomal RNA
Source: RNAcentral
GCCCAAGAGAUCGGGAUAACACCUGGAAACAGAUGCUAAUACCGGAUAACAACAGAUGAUGCCUAUCAACUGUUUAAAAGAUGGUUCUGCUAUCACUCUUGGAUGGACCUGCGGUGCAUUAGCUAGUUGGUAGGGUAACGGCCUACCAAGGCGAUGAUGCAUAGCCGAGUUGAGAGACUGAUCGGCCACAUUGGGACUGAGACACGGCCCAAACUCCUACGGGAGGCAGCAGCCA